RNAcentral lists this transfer RNA (71 nucleotides) under Candidatus Woesebacteria bacterium RIFCSPHIGHO2_01_FULL_44_21. RNAcentral describes it as "tRNA-Gly". It matches the Rfam family "tRNA". Rfam says of the family: Transfer RNA (tRNA) molecules are approximately 80 nucleotides in length. Their secondary structure includes four short double-helical elements and three loops (D, anti-codon, and T loops). Further hydrogen bonds mediate the characteristic L-shaped molecular structure. tRNAs have two regions of fundamental functional importance: the anti-codon, which is responsible for specific mRNA codon recognition, and the 3' end, to which the tRNAs corresponding amino acid is attached (by aminoacyl-tRNA synthetases). tRNAs cope with the degeneracy of the genetic code in two manners: having more than one tRNA (with a specific anti-codon) for a particular amino acid; and 'wobble' base-pairing, i.e. permitting non-standard base-pairing at the 3rd anti-codon position. The record is from RNAcentral. RNAcentral also lists the same sequence under 2 other names. Lineage: Bacteria; Candidatus Woeseibacteriota.
GCGGGUAUAGUUGAAUGGCCCAACACCACCUUCCCAAGGUGGGGAUAGGGGUUCGAUUCCCCUUACCCGCU